This 492-nucleotide ribosomal RNA is filed under the name uncultured bacterium. Its description in RNAcentral is "partial 16S ribosomal RNA". It matches the Rfam family "Bacterial small subunit ribosomal RNA", at positions 29 to 507 of the family's 1533-position model. The record is from RNAcentral.
AGUGAACGCUGGCGGUAGGCCUAACACAUGCAAGUCGAACGGCAGCACAGUAAGAGCUUGCUCUUAUGGGUGGCGAGUGGCGGACGGGUGAGGAAUACAUCGGAAUCUACUUUUUCGGGGGGGAUAACGUAGGGAAACUUACGCUAAUACCGCAUACGACCUACGGGUGAAAGCAGGGGAUCUUCGGACCUUGCGCGAUUGAAUGAGCCGAUGUCGGAUUAGUUAGUUGGCGGGGUAAUGGCCCACCAAGGCGACGAACCGUAGCUGGUCUGAGAGGAUGGUCGGCCACCCUGGAACUGGAACACGGUCCAUGCUCCUACGGGAGGCAGCAGUGGGGAAUAUUGGGCAAUAGGCGCAAGCCUGAUCCAGCCAUACCGCGUGGGUGAAGGAGGCGUUCGGUUUGUGAAGCCCUUUUGUUGGGAGAGAAAAGCUGCAGGUUAAUACGCCGCUGUUCUGACGGUACCCAAAGAAUAAGCACCGGCUAACUUCGUG